AUUCAACUGAGGUAUCAGGGCAACUUCCAUCAGAGAGAAAUUCUUUACUGAAUGGAGGAGGAAUGAAUGGUGGUGAAGUACAUCUUAGAAGUGCCCAAUUGACUCCUUGGAAGAAUGGAUGGUGUUUGAUUGCUGUAGCACCCAUAGUUGAUCCCAUUCUUCGCGCGGGAUCCUUAGUAAGGAGUUGUGAUAUCAGGUCUUUAACUGGGGCUGGCAUUGAUGGUUCCUUAGGGAAUUCGAGGGCUCGG
Molecule: unclassified non-coding RNA, 248 nt
Filed under: Hevea brasiliensis (rubber tree)
Lineage: Eukaryota; Viridiplantae; Streptophyta; Magnoliopsida; Malpighiales; Euphorbiaceae
Source: RNAcentral